UUAAAAUCUAUUUUAACUAUUAUACACUUUUUGCUUAAUAAACUGAUUUUAAAAUUGUGUAUUCACAAACACAUAAUAACAGUCAAAUAACUAUGAAACAUUUUUAGCCGGCAAUUCCGGCUAUUUGACAAUGUCAAAUUAUUAAUAAAAAUAUACAACGCAUUCAUGUUUUCAAGUUAUUAGUGCCGCUUUUUUGAAUAAACGAAAGGAAAAUUAAAAAAAAAAAUGGAUCCACCGCAGUAUUCAAAGCUGUUGUUAUCCGAAAUUAGUAAUGAAGGAGAUGGAGACAAGACGCCAAUGAAAUUUGGAGAAAAGCGACACAGAUCUGAAAAUUGGAAUGACGAGGACAGGGAACUGCUAAAGGAUCUUAUAAAAAAGAGGGUGAAAGUAAUUGAAAAUAAGAAUACAGACACCAACACCAACAAAUUGAAAAAGGCAGCAUGGAUGGAGCUUGUGGAUGAUUUUAACUCUUUGUGUACAAGUGGAAUACGGAAUCUAACCCAGCUAAGGUCACAGUGGUCUACAAUAAAAAUGACAGCAAAAAAGGAAAUGUUAUCGUAUCGUAAGCAGGCUAAGCUGACUGGCGGUGGGCCACCAACAUCACUAGUUGCACUUUCGGGCAAUGACAUUGCAGUUUGGCUGCCGGAAGAGUUUGUUAUUGAUGAUAACGAGUUUGAUUCCGACGUCAUAUUUUCAAAGAUUAUUCAAGAAACGCAAGAGGAUGCUAUAGUAAAAACUUCACCUCAAGAUGUGAAACCACUUAAAAUUAAUGAUGAUAAGGAUUCACAAGAGAAUCUUAUUGAAAAAACUCCCUUGAUAGACGCGACUCUUAAUGAAAUCAAUGGUGAUAAAAAAAAGUAAAGCACAAUGUGAAAUAGGUCGUGAUCUGAUCACAAAACAAGCAUCAAAUAAAAACGAAUAUAAAAGGAAAAAAAUGAAAGAUGCUUCUGAGAAAACCAAUAGUGUGGACGAAAAUCUUGUCAAAAUUGCAGAAGUGGAUGUGGCAUGUCGG
RNA transcript from Stomoxys calcitrans (stable fly), 1012 nucleotides. RefSeq lists it as uncharacterized. The record is from RefSeq and is a predicted model, not a curated record. The transcript is spliced from 6 exons. Lineage: Eukaryota; Metazoa; Arthropoda; Insecta; Diptera; Muscidae.